RNAcentral lists this transfer RNA (70 nucleotides) under Hemidactylium scutatum (four-toed salamander). RNAcentral describes it as "tRNA-Glu". The record is from RNAcentral. Lineage: Eukaryota; Metazoa; Chordata; Amphibia; Caudata; Plethodontidae.
GUUUUUAUAGUUGAACAUACAACGUUGGUGUUUCAGAUCUAAGGUUUUGGUUAAAUCCAAAUAAAAAUUA